Molecule: ribosomal RNA, 534 nt
Filed under: uncultured Klebsiella sp.
Lineage: Bacteria; Pseudomonadati; Pseudomonadota; Gammaproteobacteria; Enterobacterales; Enterobacteriaceae
Description: bacterial SSU rRNA
Rfam family: Bacterial small subunit ribosomal RNA
Source: RNAcentral
GUGCCAGCCGCUGCGGUAAUACGGAGGGUGCAAGCGUUAAUCGGAAUUACUGGGCGUAAAGCGCACGCAGGCGGUCUGACAAGUCGGAUGUGAAAUCCCCGGGCUCAACCCGGGAACUGCAUUCGAAACUGUCAGGCUGGAGUCUUGUAGAGGGGGGGUAGAAUUCCAGGUGUAGCGGUGAAAUGCGUAGAGAUCUGGAGGAAUACCGGUGGCGAAGGCGGCCCCCUGGACAAAGACUGACGCUCAGGUGCGAAAGCGUGGGGAGCAAACAGGAUUAGAUACCCUGGUAGUCCACGCUGUAAACGAUGUCGACUUGGAGGUUGUGCCCUUGAGCGUGGCUUCCGGAGCUAACGCGUUAAGUCGACCGCCUGGGGAGUACGGCCGCAAGGUUAAAACUCAAAUGAAUUGACGGGGCCCGCACAAGCGGUGGAGCAUGUGGUUAAUUCGAUGCAACGCGAAGAACCUUACCUGGUCUUGACAUCCACAGAAGUUUUCAGAGAUGAGAAUGUGCCUUCGGGAACUGUGAGACAGGUG